RNAcentral lists this non-coding RNA (22 nucleotides) under Arabidopsis thaliana (thale cress). The record is from RNAcentral. Lineage: Eukaryota; Viridiplantae; Streptophyta; Magnoliopsida; Brassicales; Brassicaceae.
GGCCAGAUCCAUUUUAAACCCU